GACGAACGCUGGCGGCGUGCUUAACACAUGCAAGUCGAACGGAAAGGCCCCUUCGGGGGUGCUCGAGUGGCGAACGGGUGAGUAACACGUGGGUGAUCUGCCCUGCACUUUGGGAUAAGCCUGGGAAACUGGGUCUAAUACAGGAUAGGACUACGAAUCGCAUGGGUUGUGGUGGAAAGCUUUUGCGGUGUGGGAUGGGCCCGCGGCCUAUCAGCUUGUUGGUGGGGUGAUGGCCUACCAAGGCGACGACGGGUAGCCGGCCUGAGAGGGUGUCCGGCCACACUGGGACUGAGAUACGGCCCAGACUCCUACGGGAGGCAGCAGUGGGGAAUAUUGCACAAUGGGCGCAAGCCUGAUGCAGCGACGCCGCGUGAGGGAUGACGGCCUUCGGGUUGUAAACCUCUUUCAGCAUCGACGAAGCGCAAGUGACGGUAGAUGCAGAAGAAGCACCGGCCAACUACGUGCCAGCCGCCGCUGUAA
RNAcentral lists this ribosomal RNA (480 nucleotides) under uncultured bacterium. RNAcentral describes it as "partial 16S ribosomal RNA". It matches the Rfam family "Bacterial small subunit ribosomal RNA", at positions 28 to 523 of the family's 1533-position model. The record is from RNAcentral.